UACAAAGAAACAAAAAUACAAUUGCCUGGCA
This 31-nucleotide non-coding RNA is filed under the name Mus musculus (house mouse). Lineage: Eukaryota; Metazoa; Chordata; Mammalia; Rodentia; Muridae. The record is from RNAcentral.